UCUAGCAGAGAGCAAGACAGAAAAGGAAAUGCUAUGAGACUGAAAAGCACCUUGAUUGAAGCCAUUAACAACUGCAAAAGGUACUAAAACUCUCUUCUUCGGGAGAUUGCUUUGCGAUAUUCCUUUGAAGCAAUUCCUCUAUAUAUACACAUAUCUUUAUACAUGGAGAGAAAAAGAUAGAUCAUGCAAUUAUAUCAACUGCUCUUCUACCAAAUCCCCCUACUUUCACUAUAUGCCUCUUAUGGCUAAAACUGACCCCUUCAACUUGUAGUAUCUACUCCUUAAUGGAAAUGGAUGAUGGAGAUGGAGGAGGAAUUUGAAAUUUGUGACAGUGUUUCUGGUUUUAGUUUCACCUGCUCCACGAACACAUAUAGAUAUCCCUAUUUGUCACAUUCUUGAUCAGUCUAUGGACUUUUACCUCAGUUAGCAAUUUGCUUUUGUUUUUCUUACAUUUAUUGCCCAAAUAAAUGGACUGCAACAGACAAAGAAUGCUCUAUUUACGGGGCUACAAAAUGUUCCAAGAUUAACAUGUUGUCCCGUGGUUGAACAACAAUUCCCUUAUUUAUCAAUCGGGAGAUCAGUUUUACUAUUGAAUUUAUGCCGGACCAGUAUGGGUGGUCGACCUUGCCUAGUGUAGAAUCGUACUGGACGACCAAACUAAAAAUUAAAAAAAAAUCUUUGUCUCCUAUAUUAAUCCAUGAGUGCGUAAGUAUCAUUGAACUAUCUUUGUAGUAGUCGACAGUUUUAUCUCAUUCUUUAAGAUCAUUUUCUUGUUUCUUCAGUCUUUUAAUAAAUGGUGAAGACUAAUCAGUGUUAAUGCGGUACAUUCUUUUUGAAGUAAUUUCGUUUAAGUUCUACAGAAGAAACCAUAUUUGUAAAUGAUGAUAACGGAAAUUAAACCACCCUCCUACGCCAGGAUUGAUCGGAUUGGUGCAGCCAUUUUUGGGUGGUCGACCAAGUUGUUCCAAUGUCAUAAGUCUUGUAUGAUGUUGAAAAUACUAUUGCUCCGAUUCUCCAGAAGGUAUUCCUCCUGUCUGCUAGGAAAGAGACUUAAGGCCCCAGUUUGAGCCCCUUUAAUUUGAAAAAAUGUAUUAUGGAAAAAUAGUAGUGAAUGAUAGAGAAUGUGUAGUUAAAAAGAAGGAAGUUUUUUUUUUUUUUUUUGCAUUUAAUAUUAUUUUAAUGAAAAUGAGUACUAUAUAAAAAAU
This 1205-nucleotide long non-coding RNA is filed under the name Olea europaea (common olive). Its description in RNAcentral is "long non-coding RNA (OEUR_LNC011718)". Lineage: Eukaryota; Viridiplantae; Streptophyta; Magnoliopsida; Lamiales; Oleaceae. The record is from RNAcentral.